RNAcentral lists this ribosomal RNA (1086 nucleotides) under Phialocephala fortinii. RNAcentral's name for it is "eukaryotic LSU rRNA". The stretch from base 501 to 1086 matches the Rfam family "Eukaryotic large subunit ribosomal RNA", at positions 1 to 596 of the family's 3401-position model. Lineage: Eukaryota; Fungi; Ascomycota; Leotiomycetes; Helotiales; Mollisiaceae. The record is from RNAcentral.
UAGGUGACUGCGGAGGAUCAUUACAGUGACUGCUGGUGCACCCCCCUCGGGGGCUCUGCCCGGUGUUACCCACCCGUGUCUAUCUACUCUUGUUGCUUUGGCGGGCCGCCUCACCGCUACGGGCUCUGCUCGUACGUGCCCGCCAGGGGACCAAACUCUGAAUGUUAGUGAUGUCUGAGUACUAUUUAAUAGUUAAAACUUUCAACAACGGAUCUCUUGGUUCUGGCAUCGAUGAAGAACGCAGCGAAAUGCGAUAAGUAAUGUGAAUUGCAGAAUUCAGUGAAUCAUCGAAUCUUUGAACGCACAUUGCGCCCUGUGGUAUUCCGCAGGGCAUGCCUGUUCGAGCGUCAUUACAAACCCUCAAGCCUGGCUUGGUGUUGGGGCCCGCGAUCUCGCGGCCCUUAAAAUCAGUGGCGGCGCCGGUUGGCUCUAAGCGUAGUAAUACUCCUCGCUAUAGGGUCCCGCCGGUGGCUGGCCAGAACCCCCCAUCUUUACAGGUUUGACCUCGGAUCAGGUAGGGAUACCCGCUGAACUUAAGCAUAUCAAUAAGCGGAGGAAAAGAAACCAACAGGGAUUGCCUCAGUAACGGCGAGUGAAGCGGCAACAGCUCAAAUUUGAAAGCUCCUACCAAGGCGCGUUGUAAUUUGUAGAAGAUGCUUUGGGUCUCGGUCCAGUCUAAGUUCCUUGGAACAGGACGUCAUAGAGGGUGAGAAUCCCGUAUGUGAUUGGUACCGGGGCCCGUGUAAAGCUCUUUCGACGAGUCGAGUUGUUUGGGAAUGCAGCUCAAAAUGGGUGGUAAAUUUCAUCUAAAGCUAAAUAUUGGCCAGAGACCGAUAGCGCACAAGUAGAGUGAUCGAAAGAUGAAAAGCACUUUGGAAAGAGAGUUAAACAGUACGUGAAAUUGUUGAAAGGGAAGCGCUUGCAAUCAGACUUGCGGGCGGUCGAUCAUCCGAGCUUCUGCCCGGUGCACUCGAUCGCUCUCAGGCCAGCAUCGGUUUCGGUGGUGGGAUAAAGACCGUGGGAAUGUGGCUCCUCGGAGUGUUAUAGCCUACGGUGGCAAUGCCGCCUACCGGGGACCGAAGGACC